This 468-nucleotide ribosomal RNA is filed under the name uncultured bacterium. RNAcentral's name for it is "partial 16S ribosomal RNA". It matches the Rfam family "Bacterial small subunit ribosomal RNA", at positions 28 to 507 of the family's 1533-position model. The record is from RNAcentral.
GACGAACGCUGGCGGCGUGCUUAACACAUGCAAGUCGAACGGAAAGGCCCUGCUUUUGUGGGGUGCUCGAGUGGCGAACGGGUGAGUAACACGUGAGUAACCUGCCCUUGACUUUGGGAUAACUUCAGGAAACUGGGGCUAAUACCGGAUAGGAGCUCCUGCUGCAUGGUGGGGGUUGGAAAGUUUCGGCGGUUGGGGAUGGACUCGCGGCUUACCAGCUUGUUAGUGGGGUAGUGGCUUACCAAGGCUUUGACGGGUAGCCGGCCUGAGAGGGUGACCGGCCACAUUGGGACUGAGAUACGGCCCAGACUCCUACGGGAGGCAGCAGUGGGGAAUAUUGCACAAUGGGCGGAAGCCUGAUGCAGCAACGCCGCGUGCGGGAUGGCGGCCUUCGGGUUGUAAACCGCUUUCGCCUGUGACGAAGCGUGAGUGACGGUAAUGGGUAAAGAAGCACCGGCUAACUACGUG